CCUACGGGGGGCAGCAGUGGGGAAUAUUGGGCAAUGGGCGCAAGCCUGACCCAGCAACGCCGCGUGAAGGAAGAAGGCUUUCGGGUUGUAAACUUCUUUUGUCAGGGACGAAGCAAGUGACGGUACCUGACGAAUAAGCCACGGCUAACUACGUGCCAGCAGCAGCGGUAAUACGUAGGUGGCAAGCUUUCCCCGGAUUUACUGGGUGUAAGGGGCGUGUAGGCGGGACUGCAAGUCAGAUGUGAAGACCACGGGCUCAACCUGUGGCCUGCAUUUGAAACUGUAGUUCUUGAGUACGGGAGAGGCAGACGGAAUGCGUGGUGUAGCGGUGAAAUGCGUAGAUAUUA
RNAcentral lists this ribosomal RNA (347 nucleotides) under uncultured bacterium. RNAcentral describes it as "partial 16S ribosomal RNA". It matches the Rfam family "Bacterial small subunit ribosomal RNA", at positions 338 to 699 of the family's 1533-position model. The record is from RNAcentral.